Molecule: ribosomal RNA, 250 nt
Filed under: uncultured bacterium
Lineage: Bacteria
Description: partial 16S ribosomal RNA
Rfam family: Bacterial small subunit ribosomal RNA
Source: RNAcentral
UACGAAGGGGGCUAGCGUUGCUCGGAAUCACUGGGCGUAAAGCGCACGUAGGCGGACUCUUAAGUCGGGCGUGAAAACUCAGGGCUCAACCCUGAGACGCCGCCCGAUACUGCUGUGACUGGAGUCCGGUAGAGGAGCGUGGAAUUCCUAGUGUAGCGGUGAAAUGCGCAGAUAUUAGGAGGAACACCAACGGCGAAGGCAGCGCUCUGGGCCGGUACUGACGCUGAGGAGCGAAAGCGUGGGGAGCAAA